Molecule: long non-coding RNA, 314 nt
Filed under: Echeneis naucrates (live sharksucker)
Lineage: Eukaryota; Metazoa; Chordata; Actinopteri; Carangiformes; Echeneidae
Description: lncRNA (ENSENLG00000008278.1)
Source: RNAcentral
CACAGCCACGAGCACAAGGAGGCCAGAGCCAAACAGCCUGUCCUCAAAAACAACACUUGAUCCAGUGUGUCCAGGAAGCCAAAGAUGAAAACCCGGAUUCGACCACACUGUAGGAGCGCUUCCUGAACUUUUUGAUUUAGAACGAGAACCAUUGCGGUGAAAAUAAGACCUCCAUGAGGCAACAGAGUACAACUGGAGGAGAAUUACUCCCAAUGAAGCAUUCAGUGUUGUCUCUCGCUGCUGAUGAAGAAUGACGGCAGAGGGAGUUAUCAUGGAAAUACCACAGAAUGCCAACAGCCCCGUCCCCUCCUCCC